UGACCUGCGGAGGAUCAUUACAGCAUUAACGAUCGAGGGAGGUUAGAUGCCGCGCUCGCGAGGGCGCGCGCGCACCUCUUCUCGUGUCCAUCACACACACACACCUGUGAACCCACGGGGGAGGCAAAGCGCCCGUCGGGCGUUUCGCCCCCUUUCGUAUCCCCAUUACACCUCAGCCUGUUAUGAAACGCAUGUCGCCAGCCCCACGGGGCGGAAAAAGUUAAUACAACUUUCAACAACGGAUCUCUUGGCUUUCGCAUCGAUGAAGGACGCCGCGAAAGUGCGAAACGUAAUGUGAAUUGCAGAAUUCAGUGAAUCAUCGAAUCUUUGAACGCAUCUUGCGCUCCUUGGUAUUCCGAGGAGCAUGCCUGUUUGAGUGUCGUGAACACCCUCUCGACCUUUUUCCUUUGGAAACGGGUCGGAUUUGGACGCUUGCGGCGUCGAAAGGUCGCCGCUCGUCUUCAAACGCAUUUAGCCGGGUCCCCUCGCGAGUCGGUCCGACGACGGUGUGAUAACAAACGCUUCGUCGACUGUAGCGCCGUUUCGGCCGACUCUUGUAAAUCGGGGGGGAUCGCUUCCAAUCGACCUUCGYGUCAUGUCGUUUGACCUCAAAUCAGGUAGGACUACCCGCCGAACUUAAGCAUAUCAAUAAGCGGAGGAAAAGAAACUAACGAGGAUUCCCCUAGUAACGGCGAGUGAAGCGGGAAGAGCUCAAAUU
This 718-nucleotide ribosomal RNA is filed under the name Ramaria sandaracina var. chondrobasis. RNAcentral's name for it is "eukaryotic LSU rRNA". Lineage: Eukaryota; Fungi; Basidiomycota; Agaricomycetes; Gomphales; Gomphaceae. The record is from RNAcentral.